Antechinus flavipes (yellow-footed antechinus) is the source of this 177-nucleotide long non-coding RNA. RefSeq lists it as uncharacterized. The transcript is spliced from 2 exons. Lineage: Eukaryota; Metazoa; Chordata; Mammalia; Dasyuromorphia; Dasyuridae. The record is from RefSeq and is a predicted model, not a curated record.
CCUGUGCUUCUGCUGAGCAUCCACAGACACCUGCAGCAAACGAUCCAGACAUUCUGACUCAGAGAGGAGAGGGAACAAGGUUAAAUAAGCUAAUUACCUCACCAGGACCUCCUCAUACUAAUUAAAACUAAGGUCUGGAUCAAAAUAAUAAAAAGGAGUUUUGCAACAAAGGAGAAG